UAGUUAUAUGCUUGUUUCAAGGAUUAAGCCAUGCAAGUGUAAGAAUAACUCAGUUGACAGGAAGUCUGUGUACGGCUCAUUAAAUCAGCAAUAAUCUACCUCGUACAGAGGGACUUGUCCUUCCAUUCGGAUAACCGUUCGAAAUGAACGGCUAAUACGUGUACGAGAAACAGUUCGAUUGCCCAACAAACUAUGGGAAACCAUGGUCUGUUAUCGAGCUGUGCAGUUUGCCGGUACAAAAACCAACGCCAGCAAUGGCAGUGUGAGAUUGAGGAUACAGGCAAACCGAUCGAAAGCACACAUUGGGUGCGAAACGAGACGAAUUUCUGCUUUAUCAGCUAUUGAUUGUUGGGUAGUGGCCAACAAUGGCUUUGACGGAUAACGGAGGAUCAGGGUUCGAUUCCGGAGAGGGAGCCUGAGAGACGGCUACCACGACUAAGGUUGGCAGCAGGCGCGCAAAUUGCCCAAUGUUAACACGAAUGAGGCAGCGACGAAAAAUAGCAACUCUGCACAACAACGUUGUGUGGAGCUUGCAAUGGAUGAUAUUUAAACACAUCAGUGAGUAUCAAUU
RNAcentral lists this ribosomal RNA (571 nucleotides) under uncultured eukaryote. RNAcentral's name for it is "bacterial SSU rRNA". It matches the Rfam family "Eukaryotic small subunit ribosomal RNA", at positions 21 to 549 of the family's 1831-position model. The record is from RNAcentral.